GAUGAACGCUGGCGGCGUGCCUAAUACAUGCAAGUAGAACGCUGAAGGAGGAGCUUGCUCUUCUGGAUGAGUUGCGAACGGGUGAGUAACGCGUAGGUAACCUGCCUGGUAGCGGGGGAUAACUAUUGGAAACGAUAGCUAAUACCGCAUGACAACAGUUAUUGCAUGAUAACUGUUUAAAAGGGGCAACUGCUCCACUACCAGAUGGACCUGCGUUGUAUUAGCUAGUUGGUGAGGUAACGGCUCACCAAGGCGACGAUACAUAGCCGACCUGAGAGGGUGAUCGGCCACACUGGGACCGAGACACGGCCCAGACUCCUACGGGAGGCAGCAGUAGGGAAUCUUCGGCAAUGGACGGAAGUCUGACCGAGCAACGCCGCGUGAGUGAAGAAGGUUUUCGGAUCGUAAAGCUCUGUUGUAAGAGAAGAACGAGUGUGAGAGUGGAAAGUUCACACUGUGACGGUAGCUUACCAGAAAGGGACGGCUAACUACGUG
This 495-nucleotide ribosomal RNA is filed under the name uncultured bacterium. Its description in RNAcentral is "partial 16S ribosomal RNA". It matches the Rfam family "Bacterial small subunit ribosomal RNA", at positions 28 to 507 of the family's 1533-position model. The record is from RNAcentral.